RNAcentral lists this long non-coding RNA (311 nucleotides) under Apteryx owenii (little spotted kiwi). Its description in RNAcentral is "lncRNA (ENSAOWG00000012661.1)". Lineage: Eukaryota; Metazoa; Chordata; Aves; Apterygiformes; Apterygidae. The record is from RNAcentral.
CCUGCUGGAGAGACCAUGUGGAGGCCCGCAGUCUACUCUCAUCCACUAGCCCUGUCCAACAUGGUGCUAGUAAAUAGCACAAAGAAACUUUGUGCCUUGUGGCUUUGCUAGCAGCAGCAUGUCUGGCAAGAGCCUUUCUUUUCUCCUGGGGAGUAGUAGUGCAGAGAUGAAGAUGAGAAGUUCAAACCAUGCUGAUUCUUUUUUUUCUACAAGAAAGGAACUGCAAAUUAUGCCUCGCAGCUUCUAGAUGCAUAGAACAAACAGACUGCUGAAAGUGUAAACAGGAAACUGCAUUUCUGGCAAGGAGUUCG